UCUGCUGACUUUGGAGAUAUCCCCGAAGAGCAUGUGAAGGAAAUGGCAAAUUUUUUGAAGAAGAUUCCUCCGAAGGAAUGGAGUUUUGCACUUCUGACUAAGCAAGCUUGGUUAUAUGACCAUAAAUGUAAGUUUCGAACAACUUUGUAACACAGUUUUUUGAGAUAUUUAAGUGACAUGGGUUCUGAUACAUGGUUAUUUGCAGUGUCUUUGAUCAAACCAACUUCUUCGGAAGUAAAAGAGUUGGAAGACUUCUUGGCUGGGAAAACCGUGGAUGCAAGUGAAGAGCCUACGACUGAAGAAUCUCCCCGAGCUGAUCCCCUCAAUACCGAUCCACCCACUGUUUCUCUUUGG
RNAcentral lists this long non-coding RNA (354 nucleotides) under Panax ginseng (ginseng). RNAcentral's name for it is "long non-coding RNA (PGIN_LNC018858)". Lineage: Eukaryota; Viridiplantae; Streptophyta; Magnoliopsida; Apiales; Araliaceae. The record is from RNAcentral.